This 571-nucleotide long non-coding RNA is filed under the name Vulpes vulpes (red fox). RNAcentral's name for it is "lncRNA (ENSVVUG00000017272.1)". Lineage: Eukaryota; Metazoa; Chordata; Mammalia; Carnivora; Canidae. The record is from RNAcentral.
AAAAAAAAAAUAAGGGAAGUCAUGGAGUGUCUGUUUUUCAUCUCAGAGUACCAGAUAAAAUAAGAAUGGAGUCUUGAGGAGCUCAUUAACUGGAGGGCAGGGGAUAUGCAUUUCAGACCCUGUCAAGCCAUGAGGUGGGGGCAUGAUGACAUUAGGAAGACUCUUCUGAGCAAGAUAUUUAUCCUGAGGAAUACUCCAGGGCACAUAACCACAUUUACUCCUGGCGACUCAUUCUCCAGCUGAUUGAAGCCUCUGCUUUGCCAGCUGUACAUCUCACAACCUCAUAUUUUAUCCAGCUCUAUGUCAUUAUCCUGAGGUUUAAUAGGUUGGUACUGCAUGAUCAGGUGUUCAGUCCUAAAAGAGUAAUGGAGCUAGGCUGCUGCCUCCACACAGCUAUAAUACCUCAGCAAAUUAAAGAUGAGAGAAAUAACUUUCACAUCUUUUAGACCAACUCCAAAGCAUAAAGAAGUCACAUUUUCUUCCUACCCUUUGAUUGAUAUCCUUUGUCAACCAUGGCCUAUCUCCAACAGGUUAGUUCAAAAAAGAAUGGCACAUUGAAGGAUGUUUUCUC